This 304-nucleotide ribosomal RNA is filed under the name uncultured bacterium. RNAcentral's name for it is "bacterial SSU rRNA". It matches the Rfam family "Bacterial small subunit ribosomal RNA", at positions 28 to 334 of the family's 1533-position model. The record is from RNAcentral.
GGUGAACGCUAGCGGGAGGCCUAACACAUGCAAGCCGAGCGGUAUUUGUCUUUCGGGACAGAGAGAGCGGCGUACGGGUGCGUAACACGUGUGCAACCUACCUUUAUCAGGGGGAUAGCCUUUCGAAAGGAAGAUUAAUACCCCAUAAUAUAUUGAAUGGCAUCAUUAAAUAUUGAAAACUCCGGUGGAUAAAGAUGGGCACGCGCAAGAUUAGAUAGUUGGUGAGGUAACGGCUCACCAAGUCGAUGAUCUUUAGGGGUCCUGAGAGGGAGAUCCCCCACACUGGUACUGAGACACGGACCAG